This 447-nucleotide ribosomal RNA is filed under the name uncultured bacterium. Its description in RNAcentral is "bacterial SSU rRNA". It matches the Rfam family "Bacterial small subunit ribosomal RNA", at positions 355 to 793 of the family's 1533-position model. The record is from RNAcentral.
UGGGGAAUUUUGGACAAUGGGCGCAAGCCUGAUCCAGCCAUGCCGCGUGCAGGAUGAAGGCCUUUGGGUUGUAAACUGCUUUUGUACGGAACGAAAAAGCUCUCUCUAAUACAGGGGGUGAAUGACGGUACCGUAAGAAUAAGCACCGGCUAACUACGUGCCAGCAGCCGCGGUAAUACGUAGGGUGCAAGCGUUAAUCGGAAUUACUGGGCGUAAAGCGUGCGCAGGCGGUUAUGUAAGACAGAGGUGAAAUCCCCGGGCUCAACCUGGGAACUGCCUUUGUGACUGCAUAGCUGGAGUGCGGCAGAGGGGGGAUGGAAUUCCGCGUGUAGCAGUGAAAUGCGUAGAUAUGCGGAGGAACACCGAUGGCGAAGGCAAUCCCCUGGGCCUGCACUGACGCUCAUGCACGAAAGCGUGGGGAGCAAACAGGAUUAGAGACCCUUGUAG